RNAcentral lists this ribosomal RNA (423 nucleotides) under Mini scule. RNAcentral describes it as "partial large subunit ribosomal RNA". It matches the Rfam family "Bacterial large subunit ribosomal RNA", at positions 1946 to 2553 of the family's 2925-position model. Lineage: Eukaryota; Metazoa; Chordata; Amphibia; Anura; Microhylidae. The record is from RNAcentral.
CCGUGCGAAGGUAGCACAAUCACUUGUUCUUUAAAUCAGGACUAGUAUGAACGGCUUCACGAGAGCUAUACUGUCUCCCUCCCCCAAUCAGUGAAUCUAAUCUCCCCGUGAAGAAGCGGGGAUAUCCCUAUAAGACGAGAAGACCCCAUGGAGCUUAAAACUUGUACCACUGCCUCAACUACACCACUAACCCAGGCAAACAUGACUACCAGUCUUUCAGCUGGGGCGACUACGGAGAAAAACUCAACCCCCGUGAUAAGCAAUCCGAGAAUUACUAUUCUAAGAAUCAACAUAUUGACAUAAUUGACCCAAAUAUUGAUCAACGAACAAAGUUACCCUGGGGAUAACAGCGCAAUCCAUUUCUAGAGACCCCAUCAACAAAUGGGCUUACGACCUCGAUGUUGGAUCAGGGUGUCCUAGUGG